GAUGAACGCUGGCGGCGUGCCUAAUACAUGCAAGUCGAGCGAACGGACGAGAAGCUUGCUUCUCUGAUGUUAGCGGCGGACGGGUGAGUAACACGUGGAUAACCUACCUAUAAGACUGGGAUAACUUCGGGAAACCGGAGCUAAUACCGGAUAAUAUUUUGAACCGCAUGGUUCAAAAGUGAAAGACGGUCUUGCUGUCACUUAUAGAUGGAUCCGCGCUGCAUUAGCUAGUUGGUAAGGUAACGGCUUACCAAGGCAACGAUGCAUAGCCGACCUGAGAGGGUGAUCGGCCACACUGGAACUGAGACACGGGCCAGACUCCUACGGGAGGCAGCAGUAGGGAAUCUUCCGCAAUGGGCGAAAGCCUGACGGAGCAGCGCCGCGUGAGUGAUGAAGGUCUUCGGAUCGUAAAACUCUGUUAUUAGGGAAGAACAUAUGUGUAAGUAACUGUGCACAUCUUGACGGUACCUAAUCAGAAAGCCACGGCUAACUACGUG
This 497-nucleotide ribosomal RNA is filed under the name uncultured bacterium. Its description in RNAcentral is "partial 16S ribosomal RNA". It matches the Rfam family "Bacterial small subunit ribosomal RNA", at positions 28 to 507 of the family's 1533-position model. The record is from RNAcentral.